RNAcentral lists this ribosomal RNA (445 nucleotides) under uncultured bacterium. Its description in RNAcentral is "partial 16S ribosomal RNA". It matches the Rfam family "Bacterial small subunit ribosomal RNA", at positions 354 to 796 of the family's 1533-position model. The record is from RNAcentral.
GUAGGGAAUAUUGGGCAAUGGAGGCAACUCUGACCCAGCCAUGCCGCGUGCAGGAUGACGGCCCUCUGGGUUGUAAACUGCUUUUAUACGGGAAGAAAAAAUACUACGUGUAGUAUACUGUCGGUACCGUAAGAAUAAGGAUCGGCUAACUCCGUGCCAGCAGCCGCGGUAAUACGGAGGAUCCAAGCGUUGUCCGGAUCUAUUGGGUUUAAAGGGUGCGUAGGCGGAUCUUUAAGUCAGUGGUGAAAGCCUGCAGCUUAACUGUAGAAUUGCCAUUGAAACUGAAGAUCUUGAAUGUGGUUAAAGUAGGCGGAAUGUAUCAUGUAGCGGUGAAAUGCUUAGAGAUGAUACAGAACACCGAUAGCGAAGGCAGCUUGCUGAACCAUUAUUGACGCUGAGGCACGAAAGCGUGGGGAGCGAACAGGAUUAGAAACCCCUGUAGUCC